UGGACAGAUGGCCGAGCGGUUUAAGGCAGCGGUUUACUAAACCGCCGAAGGUGCUUGCACUUUCCGUGGGUUCGAAUCCCUCUCUGUCCGU
RNAcentral lists this transfer RNA (91 nucleotides) under Phycisphaerae bacterium. RNAcentral describes it as "tRNA-Ser". It matches the Rfam family "tRNA". Rfam says of the family: Transfer RNA (tRNA) molecules are approximately 80 nucleotides in length. Lineage: Bacteria; Pseudomonadati; Planctomycetota; Phycisphaerae. The record is from RNAcentral.